CUGAUGACCUAAGCAAGGUUUGUCUGUUUGCUUGUUUGUAGACAGGGUCUCCCUGGAGCCCAAGCUGGCCUCAAGCUCAGAUUUGUUCUGUCUCCUGAGAGCUGGAGCUACAAGUGAGAUCCAUUUUCUCCAGGAUAUAUGCUACAUUAACGUUACUGCUAGUUUCUGGACUAUUUCGAAAUCAAUUCAGCAGAAACUACAAAGGAAUAAACCUGUUGUGCGUGGCUCGUUUGAAAACUCAACCGUAAGGUGCCUCCCACCAUUUUAGGAAGAGUGGUAUCAAUCGGUAGUUCCUGAAGGCUGUGGCUCAAAUCCUCUGUGGUUCAUCUGGAUGGAUGUUCAAGGCUCCCACCUUCCCUCACAAGUAACUGAACAACUAUGCUCCCCCGCCAUACUUCAACAUCUUUGUAGGUCUUAUCAGCUGUCAGGUCCAAGAAGGUGACGAGGAGGAGCCCUAGCUUCCUGAAGGAGAAGCAGGCCUUCUAAACUCACCAACGGACAACCUUUCAGUCUCCGGAGACGUGAAUGGAAAUGCCUUGUAAAAUUAACACUAUUUCCCACUCAUACAGAAACCUCAUUUUCAAAAUUAUUACAUUAUCUAAAGGAAAAACUGAUAAAUACUAAUAAAAAACAAUAUCUGUGUUAUUGGACAUUUAAAUAAAGGAGAUGGACUACAA
Long non-coding RNA from Peromyscus eremicus (cactus mouse), 677 nucleotides. RefSeq lists it as uncharacterized. The transcript has 2 exons. The record is from RefSeq and is a predicted model, not a curated record. NCBI's taxonomy places the organism in Eukaryota, Metazoa, Chordata, Mammalia, Rodentia, Cricetidae.